AAUCUUCUCUUCUGCCUAGCUGGUCCAACACAGAUAAUGUUGAAAGCACUUCCAACACGGUCGCUAGCAUGGUUGAUGAUAAAAAGUAUACCUUCUGUCCUCAUUUGAAGAAUUUUGUAACUUUGAUCUUUUUCUAUAUGAAUUGGAUGGACAGCAUUGAAAAAAAUGUGCUCUGCCGAAGAAGCAUGUUUGUCCCUAAAAUGUGCAUAUACGUUUGUUGAGGUACCUAAGAAGUCACAGCCAUGGGAAGGACAGAAACAAGGCACAUAGAUGCAUGCAUUUUCAUGGUCAGUUUUCUUACUAUAACUCAGGAUCUCCUUGCAACCAUACAUUUUGUUCACGCAUGAGACCUUCACAGAUUCUAGAACCUUCUCCAGAG
This 379-nucleotide unclassified non-coding RNA is filed under the name Hevea brasiliensis (rubber tree). The record is from RNAcentral. Lineage: Eukaryota; Viridiplantae; Streptophyta; Magnoliopsida; Malpighiales; Euphorbiaceae.